CCACACAGGUCCCUCUUAAGUGUCCAUACUAAAGCAAGAGUGUAACGGCACUCUCAGCAUCAAAUAGUAAAAGCGCUGUUUAGUUAAUCCUCCCCUCUCACCAUAAUGCAAGCUGCAUUCGUACCAACUCCAAUCAUACGAACUGCAAGCAGGGGAAUACUCCAAUCUCCCGAAUGGGACCCAUACGGGUACUUCACUUCCCAAUCAGUAAACUCACG
Molecule: non-coding RNA, 218 nt
Organism: Pelobates cultripes (western spadefoot toad)
Lineage: Eukaryota; Metazoa; Chordata; Amphibia; Anura; Pelobatidae
Source: the annotation of a GenBank genome assembly